GGCGAACUGGUGAGUAACACGUGGGAAACCUGCCCACAAGCGGGGGAUAACACCUGGAAACAGAUGCUAAUACCGCAUAACAACUUGGACCGCAUGGUCCGAGCUUGAAAGAUGGCUUCGGCUAUCACUUUUGGAUGGUCCCGCGGCGUAUUAGCUAGAUGGUGGGGUAACGGCUCACCAUGGCAAUGAUACGUAGCCGACCUGAGAGGGUAAUCGGCCACAUUGGGACUGAGACACGGCCCAAACUCCUACGGGAGGCAGCAGUAGGGAAUCUUCCACAAUGGACGAAAGUCUGAUGGAGCAACGCCGCGUGAGUGAAGAAGGGUUUCGGCUCGUAAAACUCUGUUGUUAAAGAAGAACAUAUCUGAGAGUAACUGUUCAGGUAUUGACGGUAUUUAACCAGAAAGCCACGGCUAACUACGUGCCAGCAGCCGCGGUAAUACGUAGGUGGCAAGCGUUGUCCGGAUUUAUUGGGCGUAAAGCGAGCGCAGGCGGUUUUUUAAGUCUGAUGUGAAAGCCUUCGGCUCAACCGAAGAAGUGCAUCGGAAACUGGGAAACUUGAGUGCAGAAGAGGACAGUGGAACUCCAUGUGUAGCGGUGAAAUGCGUAGAUAUAUGGAAGAACACCAGUGGCGAAGGCGGCUGUCUGGUCUGUAACUGACGCUGAGGCUCGAAAGUAUGGGUAGCAAACAGGAUUAGAUACCCUGGUAGUCCAUACCGUAAACGAUGAAUGCUAAGUGUUGGAGGGUUUCCGCCCUUCAGUGCUGCA
RNAcentral lists this ribosomal RNA (768 nucleotides) under uncultured bacterium. RNAcentral's name for it is "bacterial SSU rRNA". It matches the Rfam family "Bacterial small subunit ribosomal RNA", at positions 97 to 850 of the family's 1533-position model. The record is from RNAcentral.